UUCCGCGACCUUUAGUCAUUUCAGUCUCGUCUCUCACCCUCUCUUUCUUCUCUUCUCUGGGCCGCCUCUCUUUCUUCUCUUCUCUGUCAAUUUCUCUUCAUCAAGAAGGACUAGAUCGAUGUCCAAGGAGCAGAUCGGGUUGAUGAGUCAUCGGGUUUCAUUUGAAAUCCAAGUAUGGUGCCAUGGUGGUUGACGUCUGAGCACGACCUUCGCCGCCGCCGAAAGAAGAACCAAAUGGAUUUAUUUUCUGAGAUUUUGGGUAUGACGAUGCAUGAAGACUCGUGCUUGAUCAGGAUCUCAAUGGGGUGAGCUUUACACACUGCUAUUACUACUUCGCCUAUCUUUGUUUGUUUUUUUUUUUUUGAAUCUUUGUUAUCUAGUUUUGAUGUGAUUGUUUUUUGUUUCACUCUUGCUUGAGUGUGGAGUUGAUAUUAAUCUCAGGAACUAUCAAAAGCAAAGCAAAGCUAUGUCCGAUGCUCUCGGUCAAUUCUCAGGGAAGAAGCCCGUAGGGCUGGAUUGCACCAGCUGGCUUUUUGUGGUUCGUGAGAUUUGACCUUUAUGGGAAAGACUACUUCAUUGUCAUGAAUGCUUCAGAGAUCACUGACAAACUUGGUCUCCACACUUUCGUCAACGCCAAUGGCUGGGAAAGCUAUGUUUGGCUGUUCUGAGGGCAGGAGGUGAUAUUGGGGAAGAAUGGUGUGGUGAAUGUUUUGGAAUUGGGUCCUCUCUCAAGACUUUGAGAAGGAAGGAUUUGAAUUAUUGAAGCCUGGCAUUGGAACCAUUCUUAUACCCAUCUAAAUUUUGCUCGUGUUGGUGUUGUA
RNA transcript from Rosa rugosa (rugosa rose), 821 nucleotides. RefSeq lists it as uncharacterized. The record is from RefSeq and is a predicted model, not a curated record. Lineage: Eukaryota; Viridiplantae; Streptophyta; Magnoliopsida; Rosales; Rosaceae. The transcript is spliced from 5 exons.